Molecule: ribosomal RNA, 3007 nt
Filed under: Salmonella enterica subsp. enterica serovar Thompson
Lineage: Bacteria; Pseudomonadati; Pseudomonadota; Gammaproteobacteria; Enterobacterales; Enterobacteriaceae
Description: 23S ribosomal RNA
Rfam family: Bacterial large subunit ribosomal RNA
Source: RNAcentral
GGUUAAGCGACUAAGCGUACACGGUGGAUGCCCUGGCAGUCAGAGGCGAUGAAGGGCGUGCUAAUCUGCGAUAAGCGCCGGUAAGGUGAUAUGAACCGUUAUAACCGGCGAUACCCGAAUGGGGAAACCCAGUGUGACUCGUCACACUAUCAUUAACUGAAUCCAUAGGUUAAUGAGGCGAACCGGGGGAACUGAAACAUCUAAGUACCCCGAGGAAAAGAAAUCAACCGAGAUUCCCCCAGUAGCGGCGAGCGAACGGGGAGGAGCCCAGAGCCUGAAUCAGCAUGUGUGUUAGUGGAAGCGUCUGGAAAGACGCGCGAUACAGGGUGACAGCCCCGUACACAAAAGCGCAUGUGUUGUGAGCUCGAUGAGUAGGGCGGGACACGUGGUAUCCUGUCUGAAUAUGGGGGGACCAUCCUCCAAGGCUAAAUACUCCUGACUGACCGAUAGUGAACCAGUACCGUGAGGGAAAGGCGAAAAGAACCCCGGCGAGGGGAGUGAAAAAGAACCUGAAACCGUGUACGUACAAGCAGUGGGAGCCCCACCACUAAGCCAGUGGUGAACUCCACAUACGCAUCCUUUGCUGAGGAUACGGUUAACGGAGCGAAAGCGACGUUCAACCGCAAAAGAAGCAGAGGGGGCUUAGUGGUGGGGUGACUGCGUACCUUUUGUAUAAUGGGUCAGCGACUUAUAUUCUGUAGCAAGGUUAACCGUAUAGGGGAGCCGUAGGGAAACCGAGUCUUAACCGGGCGUUAAGUUGCAGGGUAUAGACCCGAAACCCGGUGAUCUAGCCAUGGGCAGGUUGAAGGUUGGGUAACACUAACUGGAGGACCGAACCGACUAAUGUUGAAAAAUUAGCGGAUGACCUGUGGCUGGGGGUGAAAGGCCAAUCAAACCGGGAGAUAGCUGGUUCUCCCCGAAAGCUAUUUAGGUAGCGCCUCGUGAAUUCAUCUCCGGGGGUAGAGCACUGUUUCGGCUAGGGGGCCAUCCCGGCUUACCAACCCGAUGCAAACUGCGAAUACCGGAGAAUGUUAUCACGGGAGACACACGGCGGGUGCUAACGUCCGUCGUGAAGAGGGAAACAACCCAGACCGCCAGCUAAGGUCCCAAAGUCAUGGUUAAGUGGGAAACGAUGUGGGAAGGCCCAGACAGCCAGGAUGUUGGCUUAGAAGCAGCCAUCAUUUAAAGAAAGCGUAAUAGCUCACUGGUCGAGUCGGCCUGCGCGGAAGAUGUAACGGGGCUAAACCAUGCACCGAAGCUGCGGCAGCGACACUCAGGUGUUGUUGGGUAGGGGAGCGUUCUGUAAGCCUGUGAAGGUGUGUCGUGAGGCAUGCUGGAGGUAUCAGAAGUGCGAAUGCUGACAUAAGUAACGAUAAAGCGGGUGAAAAGCCCGCUCGCCGGAAGACCAAGGGUUCCUGUCCAACGUUAAUCGGGGCAGGGUGAGUCGACCCCUAAGGCGAGGCCGAAAGGCGUAGUCGAUGGGAAACGGGUUAAUAUUCCCGUACUUGGUGUUACUGCGAAGGGGGGACGGAGAAGGCUAUGUUGGCCGGGCGACGGUUGUCCCGGUUUAAGCGUGUAGGUGUGUGUUCCAGGUAAAUCCGGUUCACUUUAACACUGAGGCGUGAUGACGAGGCACUACGGUGCUGAAGCAACAAAUGCCCUGCUUCCAGGAAAAGCCUCUAAGCAUCAGGUAACAUCAAAUCGUACCCCAAACCGACACAGGUGGUCAGGUAGAGAAUACCAAGGCGCUUGAGAGAACUCGGGUGAAGGAACUAGGCAAAAUGGUGCCGUAACUUCGGGAGAAGGCACGCUGACACGUAGGUGAAGUGAUUUACUCAUGGAGCUGAAGUCAGUCGAAGAUACCAGCUGGCUGCAACUGUUUAUUAAAAACACAGCACUGUGCAAACACGAAAGUGGACGUAUACGGUGUGACGCCUGCCCGGUGCCGGAAGGUUAAUUGAUGGGGUCAGCGCAAGCGAAGCUCCUGAUCGAAGCCCCGGUAAACGGCGGCCGUAACUAUAACGGUCCUAAGGUAGCGAAAUUCCUUGUCGGGUAAGUUCCGACCUGCACGAAUGGCGUAAUGAUGGCCAGGCUGUCUCCACCCGAGACUCAGUGAAAUUGAACUCGCUGUGAAGAUGCAGUGUACCCGCGGCAAGACGGAAAGACCCCGUGAACCUUUACUAUAGCUUGACACUGAACAUUGAGCCUUGAUGUGUAGGAUAGGUGGGAGGCUUUGAAGCGUGGACGCCAGUCUGCGUGGAGCCGACCUUGAAAUACCACCCUUUAAUGUUUGAUGUUCUAACGUGGACCCGUUACCCGGGUUGCGGACAGUGUCUGGUGGGUAGUUUGACUGGGGCGGUCUCCUCCUAAAGAGUAACGGAGGAGCACGAAGGUUGGCUAAUCCUGGUCGGACAUCAGGAGGUUAGUGCAAUGGCAUAAGCCAGCUUGACUGCGAGCGUGACGGCGCGAGCAGGUGCGAAAGCAGGUCAUAGUGAUCCGGUGGUUCUGAAUGGAAGGGCCAUCGCUCAACGGAUAAAAGGUACUCCGGGGAUAACAGGCUGAUACCGCCCAAGAGUUCAUAUCGACGGCGGUGUUUGGCACCUCGAUGUCGGCUCAUCACAUCCUGGGGCUGAAGUAGGUCCCAAGGGUAUGGCUGUUCGCCAUUUAAAGUGGUACGCGAGCUGGGUUUAGAACGUCGUGAGACAGUUCGGUCCCUAUCUGCCGUGGGCGCUGGAGAACUGAGGGGGGCUGCUCCUAGUACGAGAGGACCGGAGUGGACGCAUCACUGGUGUUCGGGUUGUCAUGCCAAUGGCACUGCCCGGUAGCUAAAUGCGGAAGAGAUAAGUGCUGAAAGCAUCUAAGCACGAAACUUGCCCCGAGAUGAGUUCUCCCUGAGACUUAGAGUCUCCUGAAGGAACGUUGAAGACGACGACGUUGAUAGGCCGGGUGUGUAAGCGCAGCGAUGCGUUGAGCUAACCGGUACUAAUGAACCGUGAGGCUUAACCUU